ACGCCUGCCCAGUGAACAAUUAAACGGCCGCGGUACCCUAACCGUGCAAAGGUAGCAUAAUCAUUUGUCUACUAAUUAUAGACCUGUAUGAAAGGCAAAAUGAGGGUCUAACUGUCUCUUAUAGUACAUCAAUUAAACUGAUCUCCUAGUAAAAAAGCUAGGAUUAAAACAUAAGACCAGAAGACCCUGUGAAGCUUAAACUAAACUAUUAAAACUAAUAAUAACUACUUUCGGUUGGGGCGACCUUGGAAAAAAAAAGAACUUCCAAACAACAUAUUAACCAUAAAUAUCAGGCUUACAUGCCAUAUUACGACCCAGCAAGACUGAUAAUUGAAACAAGUUACUCCAGGGAUAACAGCGCAAUCUUCUUCAAGAGCCCAUAUCAAAAAGAAGGUUUACGACCUCGAUGUUGGAUCAGGACAUCCUAAUGGUGCAGAAGCUAUUAAGGGUUCGUUUGUUCAACGAUUAAUAGUCCUACGUGAUCUGAGUUCAGACCGGA
Molecule: ribosomal RNA, 499 nt
Filed under: Dendrelaphis fuliginosus
Lineage: Eukaryota; Metazoa; Chordata; Lepidosauria; Squamata; Colubridae
Description: partial 16S ribosomal RNA
Rfam family: Bacterial large subunit ribosomal RNA
Source: RNAcentral